CUGGAGGUAUCAGAAGUGCGAAUGCUGACAUAAGUAACGAUAAAGCGGGUGAAAAGCCCGCUCGCCGGAAGACCAAGGGUUCCUGUCCAACGUUAAUCGGGGCAGGGUGAGUCGACCCCUAAGGCGAGGCCGAAAGGCGUAGUCGAUGGGAAACGGGUUAAUAUUCCCGUACUUGGUGUUACUGCGAAGGGGGGACGGAGAAGGCUAUGUUGGCCGGGCGACGGUUGUCCCGGUUUAAGCGUGUAGGUGUGUGUUCCAGGUAAAUCCGGUUCACUUUAACACUGAGGCGUGACGACGAGGCACUACGGUGCUGAAGCAACAAAUGCCCUGCUUCCAGGAAAAGCCUCUAAGCAUCAGGUAACACGAAAUCGUACCCCAAACCGACACAGGUGGUCAGGUAGAGAAUACCAAGGCGCUUGAGAGAACUCGGGUGAAGGAACUAGGCAAAAUGGUGCCGUAACUUCGGGAGAAGGCACGCUGACACGUAGGUGAAGUGAUUUACUCAUGGAGCUGAAGUCAGUCGAAGAUACCAGCUGGCUGCAACUGUUUAUUAAAAACACAGCACUGUGCAAACACGAAAGUGGACGUAUACGGUGUGACGCCUGCCCGGUGCCGGAAGGUUAAUUGAUGGGGUCAGCGCAAGCGAAGCUCCUGAUCGAAGCCCCGGUAAACGGCGGCCGUAACUAUAACGGUCCUAAGGUAGCGAAAUUCCUUGUCGGGUAAGUUCCGACCUGCACGAAUGGCGUAAUGAUGGCCAGGCUGUCUCCACCCGAGACUCAGUGAAAUUGAACUCGCUGUGAAGAUGCAGUGUACCCGCGGCAAGACGGAAAGACCCCGUGAACCUUUACUAUAGCUUGACACUGAACAUUGAGCCUUGAUGUGUAGGAUAGGUGGGAGGCUUUGAAGCGUGGACGCCAGUCUGCGUGGAGCCGACCUUGAAAUACCACCCUUUAAUGUUUGAUGUUCUAACGUGGACCCGUGAUCCGGGUUGCGGACAGUGUCUGGUGGGUAGUUUGACUGGGGCGGUCUCCUCCUAAAGAGUAACGGAGGAGCACGAAGGUUGGCUAAUCCUGGUCGGACAUCAGGAGGUUAGUGCAAUGGCAUAAGCCAGCUUGACUGCGAGCGUGACGGCGCGAGCAGGUGCGAAAGCAGGUCAUAGUGAUCCGGUGGUUCUGAAUGGAAGGGCCAUCGCUCAACGGAUAAAAGGUACUCCGGGGAUAACAGGCUGAUACCGCCCAAGAGUUCAUAUCGACGGCGGUGUUUGGCACCUCGAUGUCGGCUCAUCACAUCCUGGGGCUGAAGUAGGUCCCAAGGGUAUGGCUGUUCGCCAUUUAAAGUGGUACGCGAGCUGGGUUUAGAACGUCGUGAGACAGUUCGGUCCCUAUCUGCCGUGGGCGCUGGAGAACUGAGGGGGGCUGCUCCUAGUACGAGAGGACCGGAGUGGACGCAUCACUGGUGUUCGGGUUGUCAUGCCAAUGGCACUGCCCGGUAGCUAAAUGCGGAAGAGAUAAGUGCUGAAAGCAUCUAAGCACGAAACUUGCCCCGAG
This 1547-nucleotide ribosomal RNA is filed under the name Salmonella enterica. RNAcentral's name for it is "partial 23S ribosomal RNA". It matches the Rfam family "Bacterial large subunit ribosomal RNA", at positions 1273 to 2803 of the family's 2925-position model. The record is from RNAcentral. Lineage: Bacteria; Pseudomonadati; Pseudomonadota; Gammaproteobacteria; Enterobacterales; Enterobacteriaceae.